This 119-nucleotide ribosomal RNA is filed under the name Jaculus jaculus (lesser Egyptian jerboa). Lineage: Eukaryota; Metazoa; Chordata; Mammalia; Rodentia; Dipodidae. The record is from RNAcentral.
GUAUACAGCCAUACUACCCUGAAUGUACCCAAUCUCAUUUGAUCUUAGAUGCUAAGCAGGGUCCUACCUGGUUGGUACUUGGAUGAGAGACCACCUAGUAAUACCUGGUGUUACAGGUU